GCUCUAUGCUACAUUUGGAGGGUUUUUAAUAAUAUUGAACUAUACAGAGGAAGAUUAACUCCUGCAAUAGGAUGACACACAGAUUUGUGAAGCAUUCCAUAUUUUU
This is a small nuclear RNA of Antechinus flavipes (yellow-footed antechinus), 106 nucleotides long. NCBI's taxonomy places the organism in Eukaryota, Metazoa, Chordata, Mammalia, Dasyuromorphia, Dasyuridae. The record is from RefSeq and is a predicted model, not a curated record.